AAUAAUGAGUAUUUGAUUAUGGUACAUCCAGAUGGGUAUCUAGGUAUUUAACACAUGCAAGUUGAUAAUAAAUAAGUUUAUUAUAACAUAGGGGUCAGGAAAAUUGGGGAUAUACCUUAAAGAUCAUAGAAAUAAUGAAUAAAAAAAGGGAAAUAAUUCUGCUUUAAGAUUAGCUCAAUUCCCAAUAGGUAGUUGGAGAGGUAAAGCUUAACAAGCCGAUUAUGGGUAAUACAAAAUGAAAGUUUUAUAUAUGACAUUGGAAAUGAAAAAGUCCAAAGUAUCAGUCGAUGCGCAGCAGUGAAGAAUAUUGGUCAAUGCACUAAAGUGUGAACCAGUGAUCUAGAUUUAGGAUAAAUAUAGAAUAAUCCUAUAUAAUAUAUUAAAUGAUGAUUGAUAUAAUUAUUAGUCCUGUCUAAUAUCUGUGCCAGCAGAAGCGGUUAAACAGAGAGGGCAACCCAUUGGAGAUAUAAAUUGGUGUAAAGGGUACGUAGCCGGUUAAUAAUAUUGUUAACUAGAAUUUUAUGUAAGUAACAAGAAUACUUAGAGUAGUUUUAAUAAACGUUGAUCUUAAGGGGAAUGCUAAAGGCGAAAGCAUGUUACUAAAAAAAAUUGACGGUAAGGUACGAAAGUUAGGGUAUAAAAAGAGAUUUGAUACCUCUGUAUUCCUAACCGUAAACGAUGUAAACUAAAUAUUAGUGAAAAAUAAAUAAAAACUAGUGUUGAUUUUAACGAGUUAAGUUUACCACCUGUAGAGUAUAGUCACACGACUGAAAUACAAAUAAUUAGACGGCUUUAAAGCAAACGGAGUGGAGUAUGUUAUUUAAUUCGAUUUUACGCGAAAAAUCUUACCACAUCUUGCAUUUUUUCUUUUGUCUUUUAUAGAUAGAAUUAACAGGUAUUGCAUGGUUGUCGUCAGUUAGUGCUUGUGAGGUGUAUGGUUAAUUCCGAUUAACUAACGCGAUCCUUAUGGUAAUUUUUUACAUUACUAAGUAAUUUUGAUGAAAAAUUAUAUUUAAAAAGGGAAUAUGACAAAUCCUCAUGAUCCUUAUGAUGUGGGCUAUAGACGUGCUACAAGAAUAAUUAACAAAAUGAUGCAAUCUCGUGAGAAGGAGCUAAACAUUAAAAAUUAUUAAUAUACGGAUUAAGGACUGGAACUCGUCCUUAUGAAGCUGGAAUUCCGAGUAAUCGCGAAUAAGAACGUCGCGGUGAAAUCUAUCUUUAGAGUGUACUAACUGCUCAUCACAGGCUGAGAAAUGAGAAAUAAUUAAGAUUUCAUAUAAGGUUUAUUAUUAUAUUUUUAGUUUUAUAACACUUUUUGUAAUAUAAUUUAUCAUUAAAGGGAUUAAAUUAUAAUCAUUGAUUGGUUUGAAGUUGAAACAUGGUUGUGCUAGGGGAACCUGGCGCAGGUUAUUAAAAACA
Molecule: ribosomal RNA, 1419 nt
Filed under: Apiotrichum gamsii
Lineage: Eukaryota; Fungi; Basidiomycota; Tremellomycetes; Trichosporonales; Trichosporonaceae
Description: small subunit ribosomal RNA
Rfam family: Bacterial small subunit ribosomal RNA
Source: RNAcentral